RNAcentral lists this transfer RNA (77 nucleotides) under Pseudomonadota bacterium. RNAcentral's name for it is "tRNA-Pro". It matches the Rfam family "tRNA". From Rfam's summary of the family: Transfer RNA (tRNA) molecules are approximately 80 nucleotides in length. Their secondary structure includes four short double-helical elements and three loops (D, anti-codon, and T loops). The record is from RNAcentral. Lineage: Bacteria; Pseudomonadati; Pseudomonadota. RNAcentral also lists the same sequence under 1 other name.
CGGGGCGUAGCUCAGCUUGGUAGAGCACUUGGAUGGGGGCCAAGGGGUCGCUGGUUCAAAUCCAGUCGCCCCGACCA